Molecule: long non-coding RNA, 1719 nt
Organism: Gasterosteus aculeatus aculeatus (three-spined stickleback)
Lineage: Eukaryota; Metazoa; Chordata; Actinopteri; Perciformes; Gasterosteidae
Source: Ensembl
GUAGAAUAUGUACUCCACCAAAAAAAUAGUAAGUAAUUCCAUCCAUCCAUCUUCAAACCACUUAUGGUGCACACAGGGUCGUUGGGGGCUGCAAUCAAUCCCAGCCAAUUUUGGGCGAGAGACAGGGUACACCCUGGAUUGGUUGCCAGCCAAUUGCAGGGCUACACAGAGACCAACUAACAUUCAAACUCACAUCCACACACCUACGGGCAAUUUAGAGCCACCAAUUAACCUGAUCCCCAGAGCAUGUCUUUAGACUGUGGGAGGAAGCCAGAGGACCCGGAGAGAACCCACGCCGACAGGGGGAGAAUAUGCAGACUGCACAGAGAAAGGCCACAGGGAGAAGUCGAACUCAGGACAUUCUUGCUGUGAGGCGACAGUGCUAACCAUGACCCCACUGUGCAGCCCGUAUGGCAUUCCAAUAUAUUUAAAGGCUUUGCUUCGAAUUCAGCAUUCUGCAAAUGUGCUUCUUCCCCUUUCUGAGAGACAUCAAUUUCAGAUUGCAAAUUUACAUUUACACGCACGUGGCUUCAGCAGACGUCUCUAUUGGACAUAAUAAAUGUUUACACUCUUUACAUUGAUGUUUUUACCAAGGAUAUCUCAAAUAAUCUAAAUGGUGAUACUGCAAGACAAGUUCAUCUUUGUUGGGAUGAGGUCAGCCUGUGAGAUUAUAACUCAAUGAUUUGAAUAAUAAAUAAUCUUUUUCAAUGUGUAGCCAGUGAGAAAAUGUCCUUCCUGAGCUACUGUAGGUUCAGGCAGGCCUUGGUACCUCCUACUUCCUGGUUCACCCAUUAGAAAGGGUAUAAAGCUGCCCAUAAUGAAGCUGCUUUUGGCAUGCUUGUCCCUUUCUGUGUUGGAGAGUGGCUGGAGAAGCCAGUGAGCUGCUCGUCAGGGAGGCCCAAACCAUGUGUGAGCCAUACCAGGUGGAGGAGCCUCAAAGUAACUCCAGGCUGGCAUUAGAAGCCAUUGCUGUUUUGUGUUGCUUGUUCAGUUCUGGUCUGGAGUUUCUUCAUGUUUGUAAUAUUAGUUAGUUUGCAGAUUACUUUUGACUGCUAUGGCUGGUUCUACACCUGCAGAAUCAAGAUGACCAAUGGAAAAACUAAAACUUCCAAUGUUCGGAAGUUAGGGUUGGUUCAAAAUGCGUUUGGCAAGAAACCUGGUGGAGACCGUGGUGCCAUGAAAGCAAACAAAAGGACGGUCCAGAGAGUUGGUCGAGCAGUUUCAGCCUCCUCUGACGGUGGAAAUUACCAGCACUCUUUAGUGAUUUGAGAGAACGGAUGAUCCAGAGAAGACAACAGGGUCCUGCCUUCGGCUCCCUAGGAGCGGCCAAGCAACUUCAGCCUCCUGUGAAAAUUGAGAGGUAAGACCCUUUCUCAGUACUGCUUUUCAUGUCCUGCUGUGAAAGUCUAAUAAAAUGUUAGAAUGCCAGACGGUUGGUUGGUUAACUGCAUCUGCUGCUAAUAUAUACUGAACUAAUUCAGUUUUUAUCUGCGCUUUCCCAGUGUGUAAAAAGAUGCAUUCUUGUCAGUGUUUAAAUAUUUCUUGUUUGCUGAAGUACUGUUGUGCUACCACACAGGACGAUUCAGAGAACACUACAGGCUCCUGCUUCAGAGGCAUGCAGCUUUAGCCUCCUGUGGAAAUUGCCUUAUGCUCCUGCAAAAUUAGCGAUUUGACUAACUGGAUGAUAGAAUCCAACUCUCUACAGGCUUUGGCAAAAGG